RNAcentral lists this ribosomal RNA (1564 nucleotides) under Salmonella enterica subsp. enterica serovar Johannesburg. RNAcentral's name for it is "partial 23S ribosomal RNA". It matches the Rfam family "Bacterial large subunit ribosomal RNA", at positions 663 to 2207 of the family's 2925-position model. The record is from RNAcentral. Lineage: Bacteria; Pseudomonadati; Pseudomonadota; Gammaproteobacteria; Enterobacterales; Enterobacteriaceae.
GAGCCGGAGGGAAACCGAGUCUUAACCGGGCGUUAAGUUGCAGGGUAUAGACCCGAAACCCGGUGAUCUAGCCAUGGGCAGGUUGAAGGUUGGGUAACACUAACUGGAGGACCGAACCGACUAAUGUUGAAAAAUUAGCGGAUGACCUGUGGCUGGGGGUGAAAGGCCAAUCAAACCGGGAGAUAGCUGGUUCUCCCCGAAAGCUAUUUAGGUAGCGCCUCGUGAAUUCAUCUCCGGGGGUAGAGCACUGUUUCGGCUAGGGGGCCAUCCCGGCUUACCAACCCGAUGCAAACUGCGAAUACCGGAGAAUGUUAUCACGGGAGACACACGGCGGGUGCUAACGUCCGUCGUGAAGAGGGAAACAACCCAGACCGCCAGCUAAGGUCCCAAAGUCAUGGUUAAGUGGGAAACGAUGUGGGAAGGCCCAGACAGCCAGGAUGUUGGCUUAGAAGCAGCCAUCAUUUAAAGAAAGCGUAAUAGCUCACUGGUCGAGUCGGCCUGCGCGGAAGAUGUAACGGGGCUAAACCAUGCACCGAAGCUGCGGCAGCGACGCUGAUGCGUUGUUGGGUAGGGGAGCGUUCUGUAAGCCUGCGAAGGUGUGUCGUGAGGCAUGCUGGAGGUAUCAGAAGUGCGAAUGCUGACAUAAGUAACGAUAAAGCGGGUGAAAAGCCCGCUCGCCGGAAGACCAAGGGUUCCUGUCCAACGUUAAUCGGGGCAGGGUGAGUCGACCCCUAAGGCGAGGCCGAAAGGCGUAGUCGAUGGGAAACGGGUUAAUAUUCCCGUACUUGGUGUUACUGCGAAGGGGGGACGGAGAAGGCUAUGUUGGCCGGGCGACGGUUGUCCCGGUUUAAGCGUGUAGGUGUGUGUUCCAGGUAAAUCCGGUUCACUUUAACACUGAGGCGUGAUGACGAGGCACUACGGUGCUGAAGCAACAAAUGCCCUGCUUCCAGGAAAAGCCUCUAAGCAUCAGGUAACAUCAAAUCGUACCCCAAACCGACACAGGUGGUCAGGUAGAGAAUACCAAGGCGCUUGAGAGAACUCGGGUGAAGGAACUAGGCAAAAUGGUGCCGUAACUUCGGGAGAAGGCACGCUGACACGUAGGUGAAGUGAUUUACUCAUGGAGCUGAAGUCAGUCGAAGAUACCAGCUGGCUGCAACUGUUUAUUAAAAACACAGCACUGUGCAAACACGAAAGUGGACGUAUACGGUGUGACGCCUGCCCGGUGCCGGAAGGUUAAUUGAUGGGGUCAGCGCAAGCGAAGCUCCUGAUCGAAGCCCCGGUAAACGGCGGCCGUAACUAUAACGGUCCUAAGGUAGCGAAAUUCCUUGUCGGGUAAGUUCCGACCUGCACGAAUGGCGUAAUGAUGGCCAGGCUGUCUCCACCCGAGACUCAGUGAAAUUGAACUCGCUGUGAAGAUGCAGUGUACCCGCGGCAAGACGGAAAGACCCCGUGAACCUUUACUAUAGCUUGACACUGAACAUUGAGCCUUGAUGUGUAGGAUAGGUGGGAGGCUUUGAAGUGUGGACGCCAGUCUGCAUGGAGCCGGCCUUGAAAUACCACCCUU